Molecule: non-coding RNA, 122 nt
Filed under: Glaciecola punicea
Lineage: Bacteria; Pseudomonadati; Pseudomonadota; Gammaproteobacteria; Alteromonadales; Alteromonadaceae
Also listed under: 1 other name
Description: TPP sequence
Rfam family: TPP riboswitch aptamer (THI element)
About the family: Vitamin B(1) in its active form thiamin pyrophosphate (TPP) is an essential coenzyme that is synthesised by coupling of pyrimidine and thiazole moieties in bacteria.
Source: RNAcentral
GUCUUCUUGUCGGAGUGCUAGUACGUUUCACCUAGGUGAUUUGUAUAGCUGAGACCGUUAAUUCGGGAUCCGUUGAACCUGAUCGGGCUAGUACCCGCGAAGGAAACAAGCGUGGCAUUUAA